UGCUCCUAUGCCGGUUUUGGGAAGUUGUGAUUAUUUACAUGAGAUGGUGUUUUGCACUAGUUUUGGCAAAUAAAUAUGAAAUAAAUGGUAUUUACUAGGUUAAGAGCAUGCUGCGUGAGGGGAAAGAAGUGUGUCCCUUCGCAGAGGAUAGUUUCGCUCUUUCUGUCCCAGAAUAACACAUGUACGGACUCUGCUGGCUGGAGAGCAAGAGCUGACGUUACUCACCGCUACUCUGAAAGGAAAGGCAAAGCUGUCUCAGGUACCAAUACCUCCAACAGAAAAUCAGACCUGUUGCUAAAGAAGUACAUCUACAUACCAGGUGAAGAUGAGAUCGCUCCGUAAUGUAUCCUGCUACUGUUACAUUAUUGCGACACUGGUGAACUUGGUUGUGACAGUGAGGUGUGCUCUCUGUAAGAAAGACAGUGAUUUAUUUUAUUUUUUAUAAACGCCUGCCCAAGAGGAGAGCCCACAUCCGAUCAGAAGUAAUAGUUGAUGCAGAGAUUGUAUCAACUGAUGCUAUCAACAAAUCCCCACCAAACGGGGCUGGUCGUAGGCAUAACGUCCAUCAAGACAUUCUUAAAUGCCCUACCCUUCUCCUAGUGAGUGACUCUGGUGACAAAGCCACUCUGUUUUCUCAACAUCUACUGUGACUACAAGCCAUGAGAGCUGUCUGAACCUGGAGCUGCCGUUCACCCCCUUCCAGCUUUACCACAAAGAGUAGUAUUGUACACACUACCGUGACGCAAUCUCAAUCGCACUCCACACUGCCCUUUUCCACUAUGUGAGAAUGCUGUUCAUUGACUACAGCUCAGCGUUCAACACCAUAGUACCCUCAAAGAUCAUCACUAAGCUAAGGACCCUGGGACUAAACACCUCCUUCUGCAACUGGAUCCUGGACUUCCUGACAGGCCGCCCCAGGUGGUAAAGGACCUGAGCCCAAGGACCAUGCCCCAGGACUACCUGACAUGAUGACUCCUUGCUGUCCCCAGUCCACCUGGCCGUGCUGCUGCUCCAGUUUCAACUGUUCUGCCUUAUUAUUACUCCACCAUGCUGAACAUCUUGGCCAUGUUCUGUUAUAAUCUCCACCCGGCACAGCCAGAAGAGGACUGGCCACCCCACAGAGCCCGGUUCCUCUAUAGGUUUCUUCCUAGGUUUUGGCCUUUCUAGGGAGUUUUUCCUAGCCACCGUGCUUCUACACCUGCAUUGCUUGCUGUUUGGGGUUUUAGGCUGGGUUACUGUACAGCACUUUGAGAUAUCAGCUGAUGUACGAAGGGCUAUAUAAAUAAAUUUGAUUUGAUUUGGUGCCAGGACAAGAACCUCUCCCUCAAUGUGAGCAAGACAAAGGAGCUGAUCGUGGACUACAGGAAAAGGCGGGCCGAACAGGCCCCCGUUAACAUCGACGGGGCUGAAGUGGAGCUGUUCCUUGCUGUUUCAAGUUCCUUGGUGUCCACAUCACUAACAAACUUUCAUGGUCUAUACACACCAAGACAGUCGUGAAGAGGGCAUGACAAAACCUUUUCCACCACAGGAGACUAAAAAGAUUUGGCAUGGAUCCCCAGAUCCUCAAAAGGUUCUACAGCUGCACCGUCGAGAGCAUCCUGACCGAUUGCAUUACCGCCUGGUAUGGCAUCUGACCAUAAGGCGCUACAGAGGGUAGUGCGUACGGCCCAGUACAUCACCGGGGCCAAGCUUCCUGCCAUCCAGGACCUACAUAAUAGGCGGUGUCAGAGGAAAGCCCGUAAAAUUGUCAGACCCAAGUCAUAGACUAUUUUCUCUGCUACUGCACGGCAAGCGAUACCGGAGUGCCAAGUCUCGGACCAAAAGACUCCUUAACGGCUUCUACCCCCAAGCCAUAAGCCACAAGACUGCUGAACAGCUUCUACCCCCAAGCCAUCAGACUGCUGAACAGCUUCUACCCCCAAGCCAUCAGACUGCUGAACAGCUUCU
Oncorhynchus masou masou (cherry salmon) is the source of this 1947-nucleotide long non-coding RNA. RefSeq lists it as uncharacterized. Lineage: Eukaryota; Metazoa; Chordata; Actinopteri; Salmoniformes; Salmonidae. The transcript has 5 exons. The record is from RefSeq and is a predicted model, not a curated record.